Molecule: ribosomal RNA, 460 nt
Filed under: uncultured bacterium
Lineage: Bacteria
Description: partial 16S ribosomal RNA
Rfam family: Bacterial small subunit ribosomal RNA
Source: RNAcentral
CCUACGAGAGGCAGCAGUGAGGAAUAUUGGUCAAUGGGCGCGAGCCUGAACCAGCCAAGUAGCGUGAAGGAUGACUGCCCUACGGGUUGUAAACUUCUUUUAUAAAGGAAUAAAGUGAGGCACGUGUGCCUUUUUGUAUGUACUUUAUGAAUAAGGAUCCGCUAACUCCGUGCCAGCAGCCGGGGUAAUACGGAGGAUCCGAGCGUUAUCCGGAUUUAUUGGGUUUAAAGGGAGCGUAGAUGGGUUUGUAAGUCAGUGGUGAAAGUUUGCGGCUCAACCGUAAAAUUGCAAUUGAUACUGGCAGUCUUGAGUACAGUUGAGGUAGGCGGAAUUCGUGGUGGAGCGGUGAAAUGCUUAGAUAUCACGAAGAACUCCGAUUGCGAAGGCAGCUUACUAAACUGCCACUGACAUUGAUGCUCGAAAGUGUGGGUAUCAAACAGGAUUAGAUACCCUAGUAGUC